This 325-nucleotide ribosomal RNA is filed under the name uncultured Pseudomonas sp. RNAcentral's name for it is "bacterial SSU rRNA". It matches the Rfam family "Bacterial small subunit ribosomal RNA", at positions 1057 to 1382 of the family's 1533-position model. The record is from RNAcentral. Lineage: Bacteria; Pseudomonadati; Pseudomonadota; Gammaproteobacteria; Pseudomonadales; Pseudomonadaceae.
GGCUCGUGUCGUGAGAUGUUGGGUUAAGUCCGUAACGAGCGCAACCCUUGUCCUUAGUUACCAGCACGUUAUGGUGGGCACUCUAAGGAGACUGCCGGUGACAAACCGGAGGAAGGUGGGGAUGACGUCAAGUCAUCAUGGCCCUUACGGCCUGGGCUACACACGUGCUACAAUGGUCGGUACAAAGGGUUGCCAAGCCGCGAGGUGGAGCUAAUCCCAUAAAACCGAUCGUAGUCCGGAUCGCAGUCUGCAACUCGACUGCGUGAAGUCGGAAUCGCUAGUAAUCGUGAAUCAGAAUGUCACGGUGAAUACGUUCCCGGGCCUU